CUAGACGUUGAUAGGAUAGGGCACCCUAAAAAACUGGGGAGAGGAGUUUGGGGUCGGGGCCUCGGAAAGGCGGGAGGUGCCCCCACCGCUUUAGAAGCCCGGCGCAGUGCACGACGGGACGCCCCCGGGAAGGGGCGGAGUCGUGUCCGGGUUGCGGUUGGGAAAGCGCCGUUACUCCGAGGGGCGUGUUGAAGAGGGUUUCGCGGGCUCGAGCGGGGGAGGGGGGACCGUUAAAACCCUGCCCCGCGCCCACAGGAAGCUGCUUUAAUGGCUAGGCCUACUUGGUACCAGGCUUUCGGCUGGGAAGGACCUUGAAGACCAUGCGGUUCAACUUCCAAUUUGCAGAUGUGGAAACUGAAGCCGAGAGAGGGAAUCAAUGAAGAUUAAGUGAGAUGACGUCCAUCAAAAUCUCUGUAUUGUCUUUAUGAGGAUGACCCACACUACAAGUGAUCCGCAGUUCUGUUUCACUCCAAGCCAAGUUUCUCCUGUCCUCUUAUCAGUUUGCUGAGGCACCUCCUCUGCUCAACAUCAGUCAUGAUACUACCAGUGAGAGGCAAUGGAUUUUUAAAGUAGCUGGAAUAAAAUGCUGGGAAGCGGUACGCGGGCCUCUCACCGUUGUGGCCUCUCCCGUUGCAGAGCACAGGCUCCGGACGUGCCGGCUCAGCGGCCAUGGCUCACCCCAGCCGCUCCGUGGCACGUGGGAUCCUCCCGGACCGGGGCACGAACCUGCGUCCCCUGCAUCGGCAGGCGGACUCUCAACCACUGCGCCACCAGGGAAGCCCUGAAC
Long non-coding RNA from Mesoplodon densirostris (Blainville's beaked whale), 787 nucleotides. RefSeq lists it as uncharacterized. The record is from RefSeq and is a predicted model, not a curated record. NCBI's taxonomy places the organism in Eukaryota, Metazoa, Chordata, Mammalia, Artiodactyla, Ziphiidae. The transcript has 3 exons.